This 262-nucleotide ribosomal RNA is filed under the name uncultured bacterium. RNAcentral describes it as "partial 16S ribosomal RNA". It matches the Rfam family "Bacterial small subunit ribosomal RNA", at positions 793 to 1055 of the family's 1533-position model. The record is from RNAcentral.
GUCCACGCCGUAAACGUUGGGCACUAGGUGUGGGACCUUAUCAACGGGUUCCGUGCCGUAGCUAACGCAUUAAGUGCCCCGCCUGGGGAGUACGGCCGCAAGGCUAAAACUCAAAGGAAUUGACGUGGGCCCGCACAAGCGGCGGAGCAUGUGGCUUAAUUCGAUGCGACGCGAAGAACCUUACCUGGGCUUGACAUGUAGGGAAAAGCCGUAGAGAUACGGUGUCCUUCGGGGCCUUACACAGGUGGUGCAUGGCUGUCGU